This 236-nucleotide ribosomal RNA is filed under the name uncultured bacterium. RNAcentral's name for it is "partial 16S ribosomal RNA". It matches the Rfam family "Bacterial small subunit ribosomal RNA", at positions 100 to 334 of the family's 1533-position model. The record is from RNAcentral.
CCGGCACGGGUGAGUAACACGUAUCCAACCUGCCGUCUACUCUUGGACAGCCUUCUGAAAGGAAGAUUAAUACAAGAUGGCAUCAUGAGUCCGCAUGUUCACAUGAUAAAGGUAUUCCGGUAGACGAUGGGGAUGCGUUCCAUUAGAUAGUAGGCGGGGUAACGGCCCACCUAGUCUUCGAUGGAUAGGGGUUCUGAGAGGAAGGUCCCCCACAUUGGAACUGAGACACGGUCCAA